AAAGUCGUAACAAGGUCUCCGUUGGUGAACCAGCGGAGGGAUCAUUACAGAGUUGAAAGACUCCCAAACCACUGUGAACAUACCCGUGAGCGUUGCCUCGGCGGGCGGCCCCAGGGCGGGGCCGCAACCUCCCCAAGCUAGCGGGGAGGUGCCCGCCGCAGGCCCAUACAAACUAUCUUGAAACUUAGUGGCCUCUCUGAGUCGGUUACCAAUAAUUAAAACUUUCAACAACGGAUCUCUUGGCUCUG
Molecule: unclassified non-coding RNA, 248 nt
Filed under: Ascomycota sp.
Lineage: Eukaryota; Fungi; Ascomycota
Description: partial contains small subunit ribosomal RNA, internal transcribed spacer 1, and 5.8S ribosomal RNA
Rfam family: Eukaryotic small subunit ribosomal RNA (bases 1-47)
Source: RNAcentral